This 492-nucleotide ribosomal RNA is filed under the name uncultured bacterium. Its description in RNAcentral is "partial 16S ribosomal RNA". It matches the Rfam family "Bacterial small subunit ribosomal RNA", at positions 29 to 507 of the family's 1533-position model. The record is from RNAcentral.
AGUGAACGCUGGCGGUAGGCCUAACACAUGCAAGUCGAACGGCAGCACAGUAAGAGCUUGCUCUUACGGGUGGCGAGUGGCGGACGGGUGAGGAAUACAUCGGAAUCUACUUUUUCGUGGAGGAUAACGUAGGGAAACUUACGCUAAUACCGCAUACGACCUACGGGUGAAAGCAGGGGAUCUUCGGACCUUGCGCGAUUGAAUGAGCCGAUGUCGGAUUAGCUAGUUGGCGGGGUAAAGGCCCACCAAGGCGACGAUCCGUAGCUGGUCUGAGAGGAUGAUCAGCCACACUGGAACUGAGACACGGUCCAGACUCCUACGGGAGGCAGCAGUGGGGAAUAUUGGACAAUGGGCGCAAGCCUGAUCCAGCCAUACCGCGUGGGUGAAGAAGGCCUUCGGGUUGUAAAGCCCUUUUGUUGGGAAAGAAAAGCAGCAGGUGAAUACCCCGCUGUUCUGACGGUACCCAAAGAAUAAGCACCGGCUAACUUCGUG